RNAcentral lists this ribosomal RNA (275 nucleotides) under uncultured bacterium. RNAcentral describes it as "partial 16S ribosomal RNA". It matches the Rfam family "Bacterial small subunit ribosomal RNA", at positions 399 to 691 of the family's 1533-position model. The record is from RNAcentral.
GCGUGAGUGAUGACGGCCCUAGGGUUGUAAAGCUCUUUCGCAGGUGAAGAUAAUGACGGUAACCUGAGAAGAAGCCCCGGCUAACUUCGUGCCAGCAGCCGCGGUAAUACGAAGGGGGCUAGCGUUGUUCGGAAUUACUGGGCGUAAAGCGCACGUAGGCGGAUGUUUAAGUUAGGGGUGAAAUCCCAGGGCUCAACCCUGGAACUGCCUCUAAUACUGGGCAUCUAGAGUCCGAGAGAGGUGAGUGGAAUUCCGAGUGUAGAGGUGAAAUUCGU